AUUGAUCAAGAAAGAAAGAAGUGGUGCUCGUCGACGAAGGAGAUGUUGCCAAAUGAAUCUGAUCUAGCCUAGCAUCCACAACUGUUCACUGUUCACUGUUCACAGUGGACUCCAACUCUGACUCCAAUGGCUGCUGCAACUCUCUCACUCUCCUUCUCCUUAGAUCCACAGCACCAGCUUCCUCACCAUUUCUGCUGCGGAACCCACUUCAAGCCCCAUCAAACGCUUCUCUUCAACUCUCCCACUCCCCUCCCUAAGUACCCACUUCUUCUCAACCCCAAAUCCGACCGUUAUAUCGUCAAAUCUUCAUCUUCAUCUUCGCCGCCUUCUCCUUCAACCACGGCUCCUGACACAGAACCAGAACCAGAACCAGAAUUAGCCUCACCUUACCUCGUAGACACACUUGGAACAGGUCGGUUCUUGACCAACGAAGAGCUCGAGAAGCUCAAAUUCCUUGAGGGUUUCUCGUAUUCUCUGGAAUUGGAAUCUGGGAUUUUAUGGGUUCGGGUCAUGAGGGCAGAGGAAAUGGAUAUGACCAUUGCUUUGCUGGCUGAGUCCUUUGCCGAGUCCAUGGUUUUGCCUACGGCUUAUGACACUCUACUUAGGUUCUUUAUAAAGCAGUACUUGAUCGAAAGAAGGGCUCUAAUGCCGCACGCUGUAACCCUCGUUGGGUUUUUCAGAAAGAAAAAGCAAGAUAAUGCCGGAGAAGAAGACGAAGAAGAAGAAGCAGAGGAAUUGGCGGGAACCGUAGAAGUCAGUUUCGACAAGAGGGGUGCUAAUACCUCUCCUCCCACGCCAACUCCUCCCAAGAAUGCGCCUUAUAUAUGUAACAUGACUGUUAAGCAUCAGCUUCGGAGGAGAGGAAUUGGGUGGCAUCUUCUGAAGGCAUCGGAGGAACUAAUUUCUCAGAUGAGUUCGACUAGGGAAGUGUACUUGCACUGCAGAAUGAUUGAUGAAGCUCCCUUUAACAUGUACAUAAAAGCAGGUUACCAUGUUGUAAAGACCGAUACCAUUUUGAUUUUAUUGAUGCUACAGCGACGUAAGCACUUGAUGUGCAAAAAGCUUCCAGUUGUAAUGAGCCCCGUAGAAUCCGAUGAGGAAUGGAGAUGAAUUUAACUUGUUUGCCUGAGAUGAAGGAUGUAGUUGAGUGAGAUUUUGACAAAUAUGGGGUUUGCUAUUGGAGUGGCAAAGUCGAAUUGGCAUCCAGUAAUUGUUGCUUGUAUCUAUUAUAUAGGUGGGAACCUGCUCUGUUGCAGAUUAUCAGCUGGAGUUCUCUUACACACCCUUCCAUGGACGGUCUCUCGCUGCUCUCAACUCUAACACACCGCGAUGCCAGAUUCGCAAACAUCGCUAUAGACUCCAUGGUGUAUGAACUUCGACUCAACUCUGGAUCUAUUACCUUCUUCAGCUUCUUUCUAUCAUUCAAUAUAUGCCUUACCUGGAAUGCAUCAUAACUUUCAUUGCUCAGAGUCUUGAAACUUGAUAGCCAAAUUUCAAAGAGUAAAAAAGUGAAGAGACUUUUCUAACCUGUAGAACAAGGUUUUGGUCGUUUGGUCCCAGGUUCAGGUCCACAGCCCGACGUCCAGUCAAUAAUUCCAGAAGAACCACUCCAAAUGCAUAAACAUCACUUUGUAAAGUGAGCUUCCCUGUCUGUCAUCAAAGCAAUGGACUUUUCACUGUUUUGGUUUAUUUGGAUUAGUAAAGAUAAAUAAGUAAGCAAGUCUUUACAAUUACAUGAUUCAAAUUCUGGGCAUAAAGUAUGGUAAUGCUUUUGACACUGUGCAUUAGUACAUAUUGAUGAGAACAUUUUGAAUUUGAGUUUGAGUCCACAGCCUGGGGGCCACAUGAUAUUGCUUGACAUGGGGUUUAAGGGAAAGAAUAUAUAAUAUUUUCAAACGUUCGUUCAUUCCAAAAGGACAUGUUUCACCUACAAUUGAAAUUAAAUGGUUGCUUAGCAAUGCAUACCGAUGUAUAUUCCGGAUCAAAAUAGCCAAAUGUGCCAAGCACCCUAGCU
Molecule: RNA transcript, 2014 nt
Organism: Humulus lupulus (European hop)
Lineage: Eukaryota; Viridiplantae; Streptophyta; Magnoliopsida; Rosales; Cannabaceae
Gene name: GCN5-related N-acetyltransferase 5, chloroplastic
Exons: 4
Source: RefSeq, a predicted model, not a curated record